UGAACCAGCACUAAGAACGUAUCAGAAACCAGAGAUUAUGAAUAAUCUAGUUUUGUAUACCUGAGGUCCAUA
RNAcentral lists this small nucleolar RNA (72 nucleotides) under Tursiops truncatus (common bottlenose dolphin). RNAcentral describes it as "Small nucleolar RNA SNORD112 (ENSTTRG00000024841.1)". Lineage: Eukaryota; Metazoa; Chordata; Mammalia; Artiodactyla; Delphinidae. The record is from RNAcentral.